This 473-nucleotide ribosomal RNA is filed under the name uncultured bacterium. RNAcentral's name for it is "bacterial SSU rRNA". It matches the Rfam family "Bacterial small subunit ribosomal RNA", at positions 327 to 793 of the family's 1533-position model. The record is from RNAcentral.
GCUAGAGCACUCCUACGGGAGGCAGCAGUGGGGAAUAUUGCUACAAUGGGCGCAAGCCUGAUGCAGCCAUGCCGUGUGUAUGAAGAAGGCCUUCGGGUUGUAAAGUACUUUCAGCAGUGAGGAAGUGGGUAUGUUAAUAGCAUAUUCAUUUGACGUUAGCUGCAGAAGAAGCACCGGCUAACUCCGUGCCAGCAGCCGCGGUAAUACGGAGGGUGCGAGCGUUAAUCGGAAUUACUGGGCGUAAAGCGCAUGCAGGUGGUUUGUUAAGUCAGAUGUGAAAGCCCGGGGCUCAACCUCGGAAUUGCAUUUGAAACUGGCAAACUAGAGUACUGUAGAGGGGGUAGAAUUUCAGGUGUAGCGGUGAAAUGCGUAGAGAUCUGAAGGAAUACCGGUGGCGAAGGCGGCCCCCUGGACAGAUACUGACACUCAGAUGCGAAAGCGUGGGGAGCAAACAGGAUUAGAUACCCUGGUAG